RNAcentral lists this ribosomal RNA (1316 nucleotides) under metagenome. RNAcentral's name for it is "SSU rRNA". It matches the Rfam family "Eukaryotic small subunit ribosomal RNA", at positions 1 to 1351 of the family's 1831-position model. The record is from RNAcentral.
UCUGGUUGAUCUUGCCAGCAGUGAUAUGCUUGUCUCAAAGACUAAGCCACGCAUGUGUCAGUAUAUAUUUUGCAUUAGAAAACUGCGGAAAGCUCAUUAGAAAAGUGUAAAUGAAAAGUCAUAAUAAUAAUAUGCAUACCUUCUGUAAUUCUGAGGCAAAUGGAUGCAGGCGAUAAGGCAGUUCCAAAACAUGCACAUGAUGAGUUGAAAUAUCACCAAUUUAUUGGGAAUAUGUGCAAUACAAUUAUGUAAGCUGUUGCUUGUCACAUAGGCGAUUAUAUUCUUACCUAUCAGCUUGCGAUGAUACGCUAGUAACGUAUUAUGGCUGUUACGGGUGGCGAAGAAUUAGGGUUUGAUCUCGGAGAGGACGCUUGAGAAAUAGCGGCUACAUCUAAGGAAGGCAGCAGGCGCGUAAAUUACCCAAUCUUGACACAAGGAGGUAGUGACAAGAAAUAACUGUGUGUGGCUCUAUGCUGCACAUCCGGAAUGUGUGACAGGUUAAGCGUGUUGCGAGUAGCUAUUGGAGGGCAAGUCUGGUGCCAGCAGCCGCGGUAAUUCCAGCUCCAAGAGUGUAUAUUAAAGUUGUUGCGGUUGAAAAAGCUCGUAGUUGGAUUUAUGCUAUGCUGGUACAGUCGACCCCCUGGGUAGGACUUGUAUUGUUGCAUUGCACACUGUAGAAUUUGUGUAUGUUUUUCAGUAAAUGUGCAGAAUACUACUUAGUUACUUUGAGGAAAGUGGAGUGUCACACGCAGGUUGCGCCGUGAACAUGCUAGCAUGGCAUGACGCUGUAUGACUACGAGUCUUUUUGAACGGUUUCGGGACACGUGGUAAUGAUUGAUAUGAGGUGUUGGGGAUACUCAUAUUUGACAGUUAGAGGUGAAAUUCUUGGAUUUGUCAAAGAUGAACAAAUGCAAUAGCAUUUAUCAUGGAUGUCAUUUGAUCAAGAACGAAAGUUAGGGGAUCGAAGACGAUCAGAUACCGUCCUAGUCUUAACCAUAAACUAUGCCAACUGGAAAUUGGAAUAUAUGGAGAGAAAAUAUAUUCAGUAUUGUGCCUGAAAAGAGUAAGUGUGUGGGCUCCGGGGGGAGUAUAGUUGCAAGACUGAAACUUAAAGGAAUUGACGGAAGGGCACCACCAGGAGUGGAGCCUGCGGCUUAAUUUGACACAACACGGGAAAUCUCACCAAGUCCAGACAUACGCAGGAUUGACAGAUUAAUUGCUCUUUCUCGAUUGUAUGGGUGGUGGUGCAUGGCCGUUCUUAGUUGGUGGAGUGAUUUGUCUGGUUAAUUCCGUUAACGAACGAGAUCCUAUUCUGU